AAUGAACGCUGGCGGCGCGCCUAAUACAUGCAAGUCGAGCGAGAAGACGUAGCAAUACGUUUGUAAAGCGGCGAACGGGUGAGGAAUACAUGGGUGACCUACCCCUAGAGUGGGGAAUAACUAGCCGAAAGGUUAGCUAAUACCGCGUACGCUCCUUGGACUUCGGUUCAGGGAGGAAAGCGAUGCCGAGGGUAUCGCGCUCUUGGAUGGGCUCAUGUCCUAUCAGCUUGNGGUGAGGUAACGCUCACCAAGGCUUCGACGGGUAGCUGGUCUGAGAGGACGAUCAGCCACACUGGCACUGCGACACGGGCCAGACUCCUACGGGAGGCAGCAGUAAGGAUAUUGCGCAAU
This 351-nucleotide ribosomal RNA is filed under the name uncultured bacterium. RNAcentral describes it as "bacterial SSU rRNA". It matches the Rfam family "Bacterial small subunit ribosomal RNA", at positions 29 to 372 of the family's 1533-position model. The record is from RNAcentral.